RNAcentral lists this ribosomal RNA (63 nucleotides) under Passalora sp. DM-2018a. RNAcentral describes it as "partial 28S ribosomal RNA". The record is from RNAcentral. Lineage: Eukaryota; Fungi; Ascomycota; Dothideomycetes; Mycosphaerellales; Mycosphaerellaceae.
GUUGACCUCGGAUCAGGUAGGGAUACCCGCUGAACUUAAGCAUAUCAAUAAGCCGGAGAGAAA